RNAcentral lists this ribosomal RNA (559 nucleotides) under uncultured bacterium. Its description in RNAcentral is "bacterial SSU rRNA". It matches the Rfam family "Bacterial small subunit ribosomal RNA", at positions 120 to 674 of the family's 1533-position model. The record is from RNAcentral.
GGGAAACUGCCUGAUGGAGGGGGAUAACUACUGGAAACGGUAGCUAAUACCGCAUAACGUCGCAAGACCAAAGAGGGGGACCUUCGGGCCUCUUGCCAUCAGAUGUGCCCAGAUGGGAUUAGCUAGUAGGUGGGGUAACGGCUCACCUAGGCGACGAUCCUUAGCUGGUCUGAGAGGAUGACCAGCCACACUGGAACUGAGACACGGUCCAGACUCCUACGGGAGGCAGCAGUGGGGAAUAUUGCACAAUGGGCGCAAGCCUGAUGCAGCCAUGCCGCGUGUAUGAAGAAGGCCUUCGGGUUGUAAAGUACUUUCAGCGGGGAGGAAGGUGUUGCGGUUAAUAACCGCAGCAAUUGACGUUACCCGCAGAAGAAGCACCGGCUAACUCCGUGCCAGCAGCCGCGGUAAUACGGAGGGUGCAAGCGUUAAUCGGAAUUACUGGGCGUAAAGCGCACGCAGGCGGUCUGUCAAGUCGGGUGUGAAAUCCCCGGGCUCAACCUGGGAACUGCAUUCGAAACUGGCAGGCUAGAGUCUUGUAGAGGGGGGUAGAAUUCCAGGU